Molecule: ribosomal RNA, 377 nt
Filed under: uncultured bacterium
Lineage: Bacteria
Description: bacterial SSU rRNA
Rfam family: Bacterial small subunit ribosomal RNA
Source: RNAcentral
AUACGUAGGUGGCAAGCGUUGUCCGGAAUCAUUGGGCGUAAAGCGCGCGCAGGCGGUCCUUUAAGUCUGAUGUGAAAUCUUGCGGCUUAACCGCAAGCGGUCAUUGGAAACUGGAGGACUUGAGUGCAGAAGAGGAAAGCGGAAUUCCAUGUGUAGCGGUGAAAUGCGUAGAGAUAUGGAGGAACACCAGUGGCGAAGGCGGCUUUCUGGUCUGCAACUGACGCUGAGGCGCGAAAGCGUGGGGAGCAAACAGGAUUAGAUACCCUGGUAGUCCACGCCGUAAACGAUGAGUGCUAGGUGUUGGAGGGUUUCCGCCCUUCAGUGCUGCAGCUAACGCAUUAAGCACUCCGCCUGGGGAGUACGGCCGCAAGGCUGAA